AGUGAACGCUGGCGGUGGGCCUAACACAUGCAAGUCGAACGGCAGCACAGUAAGAGCUUGCUCUUACGGGUGGCGAGUGGCGGACGGGCGAGGAAUACAUCGGAAUCUACUUUUUCGUGGGGGAUAACGUAGGGAAACUUACGCUAAUACCGCAUACGACCUACGGGUGAAAGCAGGGGAUCUUCGGACCUUGCGCGAUUGAAUGAGCCGAUGUCGGAUUAGCUAGUUGGCGGGGUAAAGGCCCACCAAGGCGACGAUCCGUAGCUGGUCUGAGAGGAUGAUCAGCCACACUGGAACUGAGACACGGUCCAGACUCCUACGGGAGGCAGCAGUGGGGAAUAUUGGACAAUGGGCGUAAGCCUGAUCCAGCCAUACCGCGUGGGUGAAGAAGGCCUUCGGGUUGUAAAGCCCUUUUGUUGGGAAAGAAAAGCAGCAGGUUAAUACCCCGCUGUUCUGACGGUACCCAAAGAAUAAGCACCGGCUAACUUCGUG
This 492-nucleotide ribosomal RNA is filed under the name uncultured bacterium. Its description in RNAcentral is "partial 16S ribosomal RNA". It matches the Rfam family "Bacterial small subunit ribosomal RNA", at positions 29 to 507 of the family's 1533-position model. The record is from RNAcentral.